Molecule: ribosomal RNA, 514 nt
Filed under: uncultured bacterium
Lineage: Bacteria
Description: bacterial SSU rRNA
Rfam family: Bacterial small subunit ribosomal RNA
Source: RNAcentral
AGAGUUUGAUUAUGGCUCAGGAUGAACGCUAGCUACAGGCUUAACACAUGCAAGUCGAGGGGUAGCAGGGUAGCAAUACCGCUGACGACCGGCGCACGGGUGAGUAACACGUAUCCAACCUUCCCAUAACUCUGGGAUAGCCUUUCGAAAGAAAGAUUAAUACCGGAUGGUACUUUUUCAAGGCAUCUUGAGAAAGUUAAAGAUUUAUUGGUUAUGGAUGGGGAUGCGUUCCAUUAGAUAGUUGGUGAGGUAACGGCUCACCAAGUCUUCGAUGGAUAGGGGUUCUGAGAGGAAGGUCCCCCACAUUGGUACUGAGACACGGACCAAACUCCUACGGGAGGCAGCAGUGAGGAAUAUUGGUCAAUGGGCGAGAGCCUGAACCAGCCAAGUAGCGUGAAAGGAUGAAGGUCCUAUGGAUUGUAAACUUCUUUUAUAGUAGAAUAAAGUGACCCACGUGUGGGUUUUUGUAUGUAUACUAUGAAUAAGGAUCGGCUAACUCCGUGCCAGCCGCUGC